This 324-nucleotide ribosomal RNA is filed under the name uncultured eukaryote. RNAcentral's name for it is "partial 18S ribosomal RNA". It matches the Rfam family "Eukaryotic small subunit ribosomal RNA", at positions 1470 to 1796 of the family's 1831-position model. The record is from RNAcentral.
CCCUUAGAUGCUCUGGGCCGCACGCGCGCUACACUGGUCGAAGCAACGAGUUUCUUUCCUUGGCCGACAGGCCUGGGCAAUCUUUGAACAUCGAUCGUGAUCGGGAUAGAUUCUUGUAAUUUUUGAUCUUAAACGAGGAAUUCCUAGUAAACGCAAGUCAUCAGCUUGCAUUGAUUACGUCCCUGCCCUUUGUACACACCGCCCGUCGCACCUACCGAUUGAAUGGUCCGGUGAAAUCUCCGGACUGGCGUGAGUCGGAGCAAUCUGACAAACACCGGAAAGUUGAUUAAACCUUACCAUUUAGAGGAAGGUGAAGUCGUANCA